GUCCACAGCUAUGCCACCCUGAACACACUUGAUCUCCUCUGAUCUUGGAAGCUAAGCAGGUUGGGUCUGGUUAGUUUUUGGAUGGGAGAGUACCUGGGAAUACCAGGUGCUGUAGGUU
Molecule: ribosomal RNA, 118 nt
Organism: Gorilla gorilla gorilla (western lowland gorilla)
Lineage: Eukaryota; Metazoa; Chordata; Mammalia; Primates; Hominidae
Source: Ensembl